CUACUCCGAUAUUCCAGCUCC
RNAcentral lists this small nuclear RNA (21 nucleotides) under Arabidopsis thaliana (thale cress). RNAcentral's name for it is "snRNA_10043". Lineage: Eukaryota; Viridiplantae; Streptophyta; Magnoliopsida; Brassicales; Brassicaceae. The record is from RNAcentral.